UGGGGAAUAUUGGACAAUGGGCGAAAGCCUGAUCCAGCAACGCCGCGUGAGGGAUGACGGCCUUCGGGUUGUAAACCUCUUUCAGUAGGGACGAAGCGCAAGUGACGGUACCUACAGAAGAAGCACCGGCCAACUACGUGCCAGCAGCCGCGGUAAUACGUAGGGUGCGAGCGUUGUCCGGAAUUAUUGGGCGUAAAGGGCUCGUAGGCGGUUUGUCACGUCGGGAGUGAAAUCUCAGGGCUUAACCCUGAGCCUGCUUCCGAUACGGGCAGACUAGAGGUAUGCAGGGGAGAACGGAAUUCCUGGUGUAGCGGUGAAAUGCGCAGAUAUCAGGAGGAACACCGGUGGCGAAGGCGGUUCUCUGGGGCAUUACCUGACGCUGAGGAGCGAAAGUGUGGGG
Molecule: ribosomal RNA, 400 nt
Filed under: uncultured bacterium
Lineage: Bacteria
Description: bacterial SSU rRNA
Rfam family: Bacterial small subunit ribosomal RNA
Source: RNAcentral